Molecule: ribosomal RNA, 465 nt
Filed under: Vreelandella stevensii
Lineage: Bacteria; Pseudomonadati; Pseudomonadota; Gammaproteobacteria; Oceanospirillales; Halomonadaceae
Description: partial 16S ribosomal RNA
Rfam family: Bacterial small subunit ribosomal RNA
Source: RNAcentral
ACUACGGGUGGCAGCAGUGGGGAAUAUUGGACAAUGGGCGAAAGCCUGAUCCAGCCAUGCCGCGUGUGUGAAGAAGGCCUUCGGGUUGUAAAGCACUUUCAGUGGGGAAGAAAGCCUUGGGGCUAAUACCCUCGAGGAAGGACAUCACCCACAGAAGAAGCACCGGCUAACUCCGUGCCAGCAGCCGCGGUAAUACGGAGGGUGCGAGCGUUAAUCGGAAUUACUGGGCGUAAAGCGCGCGUAGGCGGUCUGAUAAGCCGGUUGUGAAAGCCCCGGGCUCAACCUGGGAACGGCAUCCGGAACUGUCAGGCUAGAGUGCAGGAGAGGAAGGUAGAAUUCCAGGUGUAGCGGUGAAAUGCGUAGAGAUCGGGAGGAAUACCAGUGGCGAAGGCGGCCUUCUGGACUGACACUGACGCUGAGGUGCGAAAGCGUGGGUAGCAAACAGGAUUAGAUACCCCUGUAGUC